UCUGAGGGUCUUAGGUGUUGCACACGC
Molecule: non-coding RNA, 27 nt
Filed under: Rattus norvegicus (Norway rat)
Lineage: Eukaryota; Metazoa; Chordata; Mammalia; Rodentia; Muridae
Source: RNAcentral